This 450-nucleotide ribosomal RNA is filed under the name uncultured bacterium. RNAcentral describes it as "bacterial SSU rRNA". It matches the Rfam family "Bacterial small subunit ribosomal RNA", at positions 452 to 896 of the family's 1533-position model. The record is from RNAcentral.
GCCUGUGAAUAAUGGGUGGGAAUGAGAGUACCUGAAGAAUAAGCACCGGCUAACUACGUGCCAGCAGCCGCGGUAAUACGUAGGGUGCAAGCGUUAAUCGGAAUUACUGGGCGUAAAGCGUGCGCAGGCGGUUUUGCAAGUCUGAUGUGAAAGCCCCGGGCUUAACCUGGGAACGGCAUUGGAGACUGCAAGGCUAGAGUACGUCAGAGGGGGGUAGAAUUCCACGUGUAGCAGUGAAAUGCGUAGAGAUGUGGAGGAAUACCGAUGGCGAAGGCAGCCCCCUGGGAUGAUACUGACGCUCAUGCACGAAAGCGUGGGGAGCAAACAGGAUUAGAUACCCUGGUAGUCCACGCCCUAAACGAUGUCAAUUAGCUGUUGGGGGGUUUGAAUCCUUGGUAGCGAAGCUAACGCGUGAAAUUGACCGCCUGGGGGAGUACGGCCGCAAGGUUA